Long non-coding RNA from Saccostrea cuccullata (small rock oyster), 200 nucleotides. RefSeq lists it as uncharacterized. The record is from RefSeq and is a predicted model, not a curated record. The transcript has 3 exons. Lineage: Eukaryota; Metazoa; Mollusca; Bivalvia; Ostreida; Ostreidae.
GUCCUAUCAUAGUCCAGCAUUAUUCAGGAAAAGGAAAAACCAACAAAAGAAUUAUGGAGACACCUACACGAGGACUAAUGUAGCUAAAGUUUUAUCAGACAUCACAGAUGGCUAUUUUCAAAGGAACUACAGUGUCCCAAAGAGCAAUGAGAACAGUGUCUGAAAAUGUGAUGAAAUCAAGUGUGUCCAUGAUGCUGUCU